UCGUGUGACAGGGAGUUUUGGCUGGGGAAGGCGGCUUAGCCAGCCUCUUUUCACAAAAGUGCCAUGGCGGUAUUGCCCAGACAGGCAGCAGGGACAGGCGAAAGGGAUUUUGGAUUAACAUCUCAUCUCAUGAAGGACGGCACCUCAAACAGUUCAACACCUCCCUGGCGUUGUACUGCCGUGUCAGCAUUAAGAAUCAGCCCAAGUCCUGGUGGGAGACUUAAACUUGUGACCUUCUAGCCAAGAGGAAAGUCCCUCCACAUACUGAGAAAUCUCCCUUGCAUUUGUCAAGCUCAUUUGAACUCGAGAAUCCACUCAUUUGACUUCAAUGGGUCAAUUCUUCCGUAGGACACGCUUGGCUGGGCUGGAUCCUCAGUGAGAAUCACUGUCUGCAACCACCUGUCGGCUGCCGGUUCCUUUUCUGAACACUUGGCUCUUUGAGGAUAGAUGAAGACUAUGGUCUCCGAAGCAGUGAGUGUGGUUGAAGACAUUCGGAAGCCUUCUCUUACUCCUUGACUGUUAGUAGGGUUAUCGUAAAAAAUA
Long non-coding RNA from Chroicocephalus ridibundus (black-headed gull), 543 nucleotides. RefSeq lists it as uncharacterized. Lineage: Eukaryota; Metazoa; Chordata; Aves; Charadriiformes; Laridae. The transcript has 3 exons. The record is from RefSeq and is a predicted model, not a curated record.